RNAcentral lists this ribosomal RNA (230 nucleotides) under uncultured bacterium. Its description in RNAcentral is "partial 16S ribosomal RNA". It matches the Rfam family "Bacterial small subunit ribosomal RNA", at positions 565 to 791 of the family's 1533-position model. The record is from RNAcentral.
GCGUGCGCAGGCGGUUUUGUAAGUUUGUCGUGAAAGACCCGGGCUCAACCUGGGAAUUGCGAUGAAGACUGCAAGGCUUGAAUCUGGGCAGAGGGGGGUAGGAAUUCCACGUGUAGCAGUGAAAUGCGUAGAGAUGUGGAGGAACACCGAUGGCGAAGGCAGCCCCCUCGGGUCAAGAUUGACGCUCAUGCACGAAAGCGUGGGGAGCAAACAGGAUUAGAUACCCGUGU